Hyalella azteca is the source of this 733-nucleotide long non-coding RNA. RefSeq lists it as uncharacterized. The transcript has 2 exons. The record is from RefSeq and is a predicted model, not a curated record. NCBI's taxonomy places the organism in Eukaryota, Metazoa, Arthropoda, Malacostraca, Amphipoda, Hyalellidae.
GGUGGCGGUGGCGGAGGAUACGGCGGCGGUGGCGGAGGAUACGGUGGAGACAGAGGAGGAUACGGCCGAGGUGGCAGAGGAUUCGGUAGCUCACGUGGAGGAUACAACGACAGAGGUGGCACCAGCAGCUUCAGAGGCUCUUAUGGCUCCAGAGGCGGGGACUCGAGGCGUGCCAGGUUCUAGACGAGCAGCGUGAAGAUCAGGAGACAGCCACACGACUGCCGUGGCACUGAUGUGGCUGCCGUGGCACUGAUGUGGCUGCCGUGGCACUGAUGUGGCUGCCGUGGCACUGAUGUGGCUACCGUGACAUUGAUGUGGCACUGAUGGGCUGCCGUGGCACUGUGUGGCCACAAGAAGCAGCUAGUUUUUGCUACAGGCUGUGGUGCUCGUGUUGCUCCUACAGCCCAGGCCAGGUGGCCUCCCAGAUGCAGUUUAUCAUCAACAAAAAUUUAAAGCCUGAAAAUACAAGAUAUUUUUCAUGUAAUGUAACGCUUGCGCUGUCUCGAGGUUUUAUUUUAUUUACUUAUUAUCUUGACACCAUUGACAAUUCACCUAACCUUUUUUAUCAUUAACUUGACGUUCUUGAAAAGAAUGUUAUUGUAUUACCAACUGAAAUAUGUGCGCUAAUAAGCAAGUUUAUAUCGUCUUGCUUGAGUAAAAAUUUGUAUGGCUGAAGUGAUACACGUGCGGAGUGUUGCUGCUGAUCUGUUCCCCGUAAAUUCGUUUAUGUGUC